GCGAUUGAGGGAGCCGUUGUUCGGUUGUUGGAUGUUGUUUUGGACAUUCGAGUCUGCCAAUUUCAAAGUUGCAGAGAUUGGAUUCCUGUUGGUUUCUACCAAUUCCAAUUUCUAAGGUUUGAAUCGAAGAACACAAUGAUCUACACAAGAAUCUCAUCUUUAGGUUCCUCCAGAGUAAAGCUCGCAUACAGAUAUGGCUGUUUGAGCAGGAGGAUUUGAGAAUUGAAGGUCUCAUUUUUGUAAGUUUAAUUAGAGUUGUUUUUCUUGUUAUUGAUUUCAACUGUCUAGUCUUUAGGGCUUUCUAUAUGUGCAUUAAACCCUAAAGUAAAGAAGAAGUACACUUUGAUUAUUAAGAUUAUGAAUUUAGAGUGUUAAAAGGGUUUCUUUCUU
Long non-coding RNA from Helianthus annuus (common sunflower), 390 nucleotides. RefSeq lists it as uncharacterized. The transcript has 4 exons. NCBI's taxonomy places the organism in Eukaryota, Viridiplantae, Streptophyta, Magnoliopsida, Asterales, Asteraceae. The record is from RefSeq and is a predicted model, not a curated record.